This 253-nucleotide ribosomal RNA is filed under the name uncultured bacterium. Its description in RNAcentral is "partial 16S ribosomal RNA". It matches the Rfam family "Bacterial small subunit ribosomal RNA", at positions 524 to 776 of the family's 1533-position model. The record is from RNAcentral.
UACGGAGGGUGCAAGCGUUGUUCGGAAUCACUGGGCGUAAAGGGCGUGUAGGCGGUCCGCUAAGUCUGAUGUGAAAGCCCGGGGCUCACCCCCGGAAGGGCAUUGGAAACUGGCGGACUCGAGUCUCGGAGAGGAAGGUGGAAUUCCAGGUGUAGCGGUGAAAUGCGUAGAUAUCUGGAGGAACACCGGUGGCGAAGGCGGCAUCCUGGACCGGUAUUGACGCUGAGGCGCGAAAGCCAGGGGAGCAAACGGG